AUCCUGGCUCAGGAUGAACGCUGGCGGCGUGCCUAACACAUGCAAGUCGAACGAAGCACUUCUGAUCGGAGAUUCGUCGAAGAACGGGAAUGACUUAGUGGCGGACGGGUGAGUAAUGCGUGAGCAACCUGCCUUUCAGAGGGGGACAACAGUUGGAAACGACUGCUAAUACCGCAUAAUGUACAGAGGGGGCAUCCCUUUUGUACCAAAGGAGCAAUCCGCUGAAAGAUGGGCUCACGUCUGAUUAGCUGGUUGGUGAGGUAACGGCUCACCAAGGCUGCGAUCAGUAGCCGGACUGAGAGGUUGAACGGCCACAUUGGGACUGAGAUACGGCCCAGACUCCUACGGGAGGCAGCAGUGGGGAAUAUUGGGCAAUGGGCGAAAGCCUGACCCAGCAACGCCGCGUGAAGGAAGAAGGCCUUCGGGUUGUAAACUUCUUUUACCAGGGACGAACACAAUGACGGUACCUGGAGAAUAAGCCACGGCUAACUACGUGCC
RNAcentral lists this ribosomal RNA (498 nucleotides) under uncultured organism. Its description in RNAcentral is "SSU rRNA". It matches the Rfam family "Bacterial small subunit ribosomal RNA", at positions 16 to 509 of the family's 1533-position model. The record is from RNAcentral.